This is an RNA transcript of Lycium barbarum (goji berry), 4657 nucleotides long. It is a transcript of the gene named DNA ligase 6, with no coding region annotated. The record is from RefSeq and is a predicted model, not a curated record. Lineage: Eukaryota; Viridiplantae; Streptophyta; Magnoliopsida; Solanales; Solanaceae. The transcript has 20 exons.
AUUACCAGUUUCCCAAAAAAAAUAAAAAAACAAAAAAAUAAAAAAUCAGGGGUUAAUUUCUUAUUUUCCAAAGAAAGAGUACCAGAGUACUAAUUCCAAGAAACCCGUACUGCUUCUGGCGCCAUUCCAACCGCCUCAAAGUACUAAAAAUCCCUUCCAUCAUGCUCCGCGUAGUCGUACAAUUUCCACUUUAACUAUCAUUCUCGCCGGCGGCCAUGUCCUCCGACACCGGAACCCUAACCCUAACCUCCACCACUCUAUACACAACAGCUCUGAACAAAUCCUCAUCAAAUUCAGUCUCACUAUCCCUCUCCCCGAUCCCUUCUUCAAUCCCUCAACCAAAACUCAUCCCUAAAACUCGCUUCAUCAUCGACGGUUUCAAAUACGCUAACGAUUUCUCCGUUUCAUACUUCCUCUCACAUUUCCACUCCGAUCACUAUACUGGCCUUUCCUCUAAUUGGUCUAAAGGUAUCAUUUUCUGCUCUUCCAUCACUGCUAACCUACUUAUCAAAGUCCUCAAUGUUCCAAAGCAGUUUGUAGUGUCUUUGCCGCUGUCGAAAAAGGUUUUAAUUGACGGUUCUGAGGUUUUUUUAGUUGAUGCUAAUCAUUGUCCCGGUGCUGUGCAAUUUUUGUUUAAAGUUCCGGUUAGUAAUGGGAAGUUUGAGAGGUAUGUUCAUACAGGUGAUUUUCGUUAUUGUGAUGACAUGAAAUUAGAGCCUGUAAUGGAUGCAUUUGUUGGUGCUGAUGCUGUGUUUUUGGAUACUACUUAUUGCCACCCCAAGUUUAUAUUCCCUAGUCAACAAGAGUCAAUUGAUUAUAUAGUUGGAGUUAUAGAGAAUGAGGGUUCAUUGAAAAAUAUCUUGUUUCUUAUUGCUACUUAUGUUAUUGGGAAAGAGAAGAUCUUGGUGGAGGUUUCACGGAGGUGUCGGAGAAAGAUCUACGUUGAUGGCAGAAAAAUGGAUGUUUUGAAUGUAUUAGGUCAUGAGGAGGAUGGGGUGUUUACUACUGAUGAAUCUGAAACUGAUGUUCAUGUGGUUGGGUGGAACGUAUUGGGUGAGACGUGGCCAUAUUUCAGACCCAAUUUUGAGAAAAUGGAUAAGAUUAUGAAUGAGAAAGGGUAUUCCAAGGUGGUUGGUUUUGUCCCAACAGGUUGGACUUAUGAAGUGAAGCGGAAUAAGUUUUCAGUGAGGAAGAAAGAUUCCUUUGAGAUACAUCUUGUUCCGUAUAGUGAACAUUCAAAUUAUGAUGAGCUUAGACAGUAUGUGAAGUUUUUGAAACCAAAGCGUGUUAUACCAACUGUAGGUACAGAUGUUGAGAAGCUGGACAGCAAACAUGCUAAUGCCAUGCGGAAGCAUUUUGCUGGCUUGGUCGAUGAGAUGGCCAUCAAGCAAGAAUUUCUUUUAGGUUUUCAUCGUUGUGUCCAAGGGGAGGAGGAUGUAGAUGCGAAAAAAUCUGGUCUUGCUUUAGUUAGUAUCACCGAGCAAGAAAACACAAAUGAAUCUGCUCAUACUUUAGUCAGUAUCAUCAAGCAAGAAAAUGAGGAUACUCCAUCAGAUGCUAAAAGCUGCAAUGCUGCUGAUAGGGAUACUGUUGACCAUUCCUCAUUUCCUCUAGGAGAACCUGUGUCGCGAGGUUUAGAAAAAAUAAGUGAAGGCGAUAUGGAGGAAAUACUAAAAGAACUUCAAGACUGUUUGCCCACUUGGGUCACUAAAGUACAGAUGUUGUAUCUCCUUAGUAUUUCGGGAAAAAAUGUUGUUGAUGCAGUCACAAACUUUUACGAACAUGAAACAGAAUAUCGUGAACAGGUCACUGCAAGUAAUUCUGUUACCUCUUCAUUUGAGGCCAACUCAGCAAAUGGGUCUGCAUUGCCUUCCAAACCAUGUCUUGGUAAAAGCCCGCAGCAGGAUGAGACAACUGCAUCAAGUAAAACCUUUAAACUGCCCAUCAUGUACAGUUCUAGUAGCAAAAACAUUUCUCCAGGUAAAAGGAAGAGAAGUACUGGAAACAAGUCAUCUAAGAAAGCAAAGGGACAUGCACGUAUGGAAUCUGGUGGACCGAAGCAAUGUACUAUAACAAAAUUCUUCAGUAAACCGGUGCCUCAUUCUUUGCAGAAUUUAAACAGUGAAGCUGAUAGUAAAAAUUUCCACGAUGAUAACAGCGUGCCACUGAAUGUCUCUAUUGAGAGUUAUAAAGAGGAAGCUGAUCGGUUUAUUCAGAUUAUGGAUGGAGAUGAGUCAUUAAGAAGUUAUGCUACCACAGUACUAGUGAAGACUAAAGGAGACAUAAGUAUGGCACUUGAUAUUUAUUUUGCAGAAUGCAAAGAUGUAGGAGAGACUAAUGGAGAUGGGAUUCCUAAAACAAUCAAAUUGGAGCAACCUCUAUGUGCUAAAGAGGUUUGCCCUUCUCCCAAAGAUGAUAAAUUGCCCAAAAUGUUGGGAGAUGAUGCUGAUUUAUUGUUGUGUGGAGUUCCCGUUGCGGAUAAUGCUGUAAAUUAUGUAUCACUUCCACCCGGGAAAUAUUCUCCCGUGGAACAUGCUUGCUGGAGUAAGGGGCAGGCUGCUCCAUACAUACAUCUUGCACGAACUUUUGGAUUGGUAGAGGAAGAAAAAGGCAAGAUAAAAGCAACAUCAAUGUUGUGCAAUAUGUUUCGCAGCUUGCUGGCCUUGUCUCCAGAGGAUGUGCUUCCUGCAGUGUACUUGUGCACAAACAAGAUAGCUCCCGACCAUGAAAAUAUGGAAUUGAGCAUUGGGGGUAGUACUGUUGUAGCAGCACUAGAAGAGGCAUGCGGAACAAAGAAAUCGAAAGUACGAGAACUAUACAACAGCCUGGGUGAUCUUGGUGAUGUUGCUCAACUUUGCCGACAAACACAGUCAUUACUUGCUCCUCCGGUGGCACUUACAGUUAGGGGUGUAUAUGCUGCUCUUAGAAGGAUAAGUUUGCAAGCAGGUAGUGGGAGCGCGAUCCGAAAGAAAAGCCUUAUUGUCAAACUCAUGUGUUCGUGUAGAGAGAAGGAGAUGAAGUUUCUUGUGAGAACUUUGGUUCGGAAUUUGCGCAUUGGAGCCAUGAUGAGAACUGUUCUUCCUGCAUUAGCUCAAGCUGUUGUGUUCAAUUCUACUCCUUAUGAAGGACUGGUCGAAAACCUGAAAGAAUGUCUGCAGCAACUUUCAGCAGACGUAGUUGAAGCAUAUAACAUCCUUCCCAGCUUGGAUGUUCUUGUUCCUUCUUUGAUGGAGAAGGGGAUUGAGUUUUCUUCAAAUACAUUGUCAAUGGCACCAGGCAUACCCAUCAAACCAAUGCUUGCAAAGAUUACUAAUGGUGCCCCUCAAGUGCUGAAGCUCUUUCAGAACAAAGCCUUUACGUGUGAAUACAAAUAUGAUGGUCAGCGAGCACAGAUUCAUAAAUUAGCUGAUGGUUCGGUCCGCGUAUUUUCACGGAAUGGGGAUGAAACAACAUCUAGAUUCCCGGAUUUGGUGAACAUAAUUACAGAAUCAUGUGGUCCCAGAGGAACAACAUUUAUCUUGGAUGCAGAGGUUGUUGCAAUUGAUAGACAAAAUGGUUCAAAGCUCAUGUCGUUCCAAGAACUAUCUUCACGAGAGAGAGGGUCCAAAGAUUCCAUCAUUGCGUUAGACAAAAUUAAGGUUGAGAUAUGCGUUUUUGUUUUCGAUAUCAUGUUUGCAAAUGGAGAACAAUUGUUGAAUCUGCCGCUCCGUCAAAGGCGAAAAUAUUUGAAGGAUUUAUUUGGUGACGUCAAAGUGGGUUAUUUUGAGUACGUGACAGAAAUGACCGUAGAGCGCAAUGAUGCUUGUACAGAUAAUGAAGCCACAUUAGCUAGGAUGAACAGCUUUCUUGAUGAUGCACUACAUUCUUCAUGUGAAGGGAUCAUGGUGAAAUCCCUUGAUGUAGAUGCUGGGUACACACCAUCAAAGCGCUCUGAUGCAUGGUUAAAGGUCAAGAGAGACUAUGUUGAAGGAUUAAAUGAUUCCCUGGACUUGGUUCCAAUUGGUGCUUGGUACGGGAAUGGAAGAAAAGCAGGAUGUUAAGGAAUCGAACUGCAAAUCCCCAGGAAUUUGAGCAUUUUCACCAAAUUAAUUGAGACAGCUUGGUGGGAAUUUCUAUUCUAAAGAUGAUUGUGCUGUACAGAAAUUUCUAGUGUUACCAAUAAAGUUGGAUUUUUGCUGCUACUGUUUGUCAUUUUGACAGUUCAGUGCUACAAAGAUGUGCAUUGUAUGAAUAAUCCUCAGAAGAUCAAGAUGAAUCGUUUGCUUUUGUUUCACUUUUGGUGUAAAGAAGAAUUUCUAGAUGAAGUAGAUUCAUUGCUAGAUAUCAUGGAAUCCUUGUAAGAGGACAAGUAUAUACUUUUGCUCUUUUUUAACUGCAAUUUUGGCUCUUAGCACAACUGUUGUAUUAAGGAUAUAUAAUAUUGUUACCUUUUUUUUUUUUUGGUUAGGAACAUUCUAACCUUAACAAAAAAAAAAAAAAAAAAAAGUGAAUUUGUGUUCCUAUAUGCAAUGCGUAUAUUGUAUGGACAAGUAUAGUCCUUUCCUUAUGGCCUGCUACAACCCUGACACAGAGGAAUUCCAGAGUGUCUGCCGGGUCAUGUCUGGGUUUUCUGAUUCCUUCUAUGUAGAGAUGAGAGACUUCUUCGAUGGGGACAGAA